UAGCUAAUGAAGGGAUGUCUGAUCCUUCC
RNAcentral lists this non-coding RNA (29 nucleotides) under Rattus norvegicus (Norway rat). The record is from RNAcentral. Lineage: Eukaryota; Metazoa; Chordata; Mammalia; Rodentia; Muridae.